GAUGGGAGCUUGCUCCCUGAUGUUAGCGGCGGACGGGUGAGUAACACGUGGGUAACCUGCCUGUAAGACUGGGAUAACUCCGGGAAACCGGGGCUAAUACCGGAUGGUUGUUUGAACCGCAUGGUUCAGACAUAAAAGGUGGCUUCGGCUACCACUUACAGAUGGACCCGCGGCGCAUUAGCUAGUUGGUGAGGUAACGGCUCACCAAGGCGACGAUGCGUAGCCGACCUGAGAGGGUGAUCGGCCACACUGGGACUGAGACACGGCCCAGACUCCUACGGGAGGCAGCAGUAGGGAAUCUUCCGCAAUGGACGAAAGUCUGACGGAGCAACGCCGCGUGAGUGAUGAAGGUUUUCGGAUCGUAAAGCUCUGUUGUUAGGGAAGAACAAGUGCCGUUCAAAUAGGGCGGCACCUUGACGGUACCUAACCAGAAAGCCACGGCUAACUACGUGCCAGCAGCCGCGGUAAUACGUAGGUGGCAAGCGUUGUCCGGAAUUAUUGGGCGUAAAGGGCUCGCAGGCGGUUUCUUAAGUCUGAUGUGAAAGCCCCCGGCUCAACCGGGGAGGGUCAUUGGAAACUGGGGAACUUGAGUGCAGAAGAGGAGAGUGGAAUUCCACGUGUAGCGGUGAAAUGCGUAGAGAUGUGGAGGAACACCAGUGGCGAAGGCGACUCUCUGGUCUGUAACUGACGCUGAGGAGCGAAAGCGUGGGGAGCGAACAGGAUUAGAUA
RNAcentral lists this ribosomal RNA (729 nucleotides) under Bacillus amyloliquefaciens. RNAcentral's name for it is "bacterial SSU rRNA". It matches the Rfam family "Bacterial small subunit ribosomal RNA", at positions 71 to 784 of the family's 1533-position model. Lineage: Bacteria; Bacillati; Bacillota; Bacilli; Caryophanales; Bacillaceae. The record is from RNAcentral.